Athalia rosae (coleseed sawfly) is the source of this 488-nucleotide long non-coding RNA. RefSeq lists it as uncharacterized. The record is from RefSeq and is a predicted model, not a curated record. NCBI's taxonomy places the organism in Eukaryota, Metazoa, Arthropoda, Insecta, Hymenoptera, Athaliidae. The transcript has 4 exons.
UCAGAAGAAUCGGUAUACAGAAUUUCCCAGGUGAUUGAUGACACUGUUUGUUGGCAGCUAAGGUAAUUGCAUUCUUGGUCUCGAAAUGGAAAACACUCAGAGGAUCAGAGGCUACAGUCUCCAGACAUUUGCGAUUGUUGGGGCUGGACAAUGGAACUAAGUAACAGUGAAGCAACGUGUCAGUUUUAUUUGAAUAUGGAUACAGCAUCUCAAUGGCAAAUGCAGAAGAAUCGGUAUACCGAAUUUCCCAGGUGAUUGAUGACACUGUUUGUUGGCAGCUAAGGUGAUUAAAUAGUUCAUGAGGAAAUUGGAAAAAUAGGAGAGAAUUGCUGACAGUUCGUAGGAGGUAAUUGCAUUCUUGGUCUCCCAAUGGAAAACAGUCAGAGGAUCAGAGGCUACAGUCUCCAGACAUUUGCGAUUGUUGGGGCUGGACAAUGGAACUAAGCAACAGUGAAGCUACGUGUCAGUUUUAUUUGAAUAUGGAUACA